UGCAGUCGAGCGGAUGAAGGGAGCUUGCUCCUGAAUUCAGCGGCGGACGGGUGAGUAAUGCCUAGGAAUCUGCCUGGUAGUGGGGGACAACGUUUCGAAAGGAACGCUAAUACCGCAUACGUCCUACGGGAGAAAGCAGGGGACCUUCGGGCCUUGCGCUAUCAGAUGAGCCUAGGUCGGAUUAGCUAGUUGGUGAGGUAAUGUCUCACCAAGGCGACGAUCCGUAACUGGUCUGAGAGGAUGAUCAGUCACACUGGAACUGAGACACGGUCCAGACUCCUACGGGAGGCAGCAGUGGGGAAUAUUGGACAAUGGGCGAAAGCCUGAUCCAGCCAUGCCGCGUGUGUGAAGAAGGUCUUCGGAUUGUAAAGCACUUUAAGUUGGGAGGAAGGGUUGUAGAUUAAUACUC
RNAcentral lists this ribosomal RNA (409 nucleotides) under Pseudomonas sp. 8.1. RNAcentral's name for it is "bacterial SSU rRNA". It matches the Rfam family "Bacterial small subunit ribosomal RNA", at positions 56 to 469 of the family's 1533-position model. The record is from RNAcentral. Lineage: Bacteria; Pseudomonadati; Pseudomonadota; Gammaproteobacteria; Pseudomonadales; Pseudomonadaceae.